CGCUUCGCCUGAGCAGACUGCGUGAGGGAGGAGGCUCUUGGGUUGUAACCUCUUUUCUCAAGGAAGAAGAACUGACGGUACUUGAGGAAUCAGCAUCGGCUAACUCCGUGCCAGCAGCCGCGGUAAUACGGAGGAUGCAAGCGUUAUCCGGAAUCAUUGGGCGUAAAGAGUCCGUAGGUGGCACUUCAAGUCGGUUGUCAAAGACCACAGCUUAACUGUGGAAAGGCAGUGGAAACUGAAGAGCUAGAGAAUGGUAGGGGCAGAGGGAAUUCCCGGUGUAGCGGUGAAAUGCGUAGAGAUCGGGAAGAACACCAGUGGCGAAAGCGCUCUGCUGGACCAUGACUGACACUGAGGGACGAAAGCUAGGGGAGCGAAAGGGAUUAGAUACCCCUGUAGUCA
RNAcentral lists this ribosomal RNA (399 nucleotides) under Phormidium sp. 12. Its description in RNAcentral is "bacterial SSU rRNA". It matches the Rfam family "Bacterial small subunit ribosomal RNA", at positions 380 to 796 of the family's 1533-position model. The record is from RNAcentral. Lineage: Bacteria; Bacillati; Cyanobacteriota; Cyanophyceae; Oscillatoriales; Oscillatoriaceae.